RNA transcript from Triticum dicoccoides, 1585 nucleotides. RefSeq lists it as uncharacterized. The transcript is spliced from 5 exons. Lineage: Eukaryota; Viridiplantae; Streptophyta; Magnoliopsida; Poales; Poaceae. The record is from RefSeq and is a predicted model, not a curated record.
CCUUGGCGUUCGUAAAAGCUUGGGCCCAUUAUCUUCCAUCACUCUCCAAGAUUCAGUGAAGAUUUGCCCUGCAUAUAGACAAUGGGGCAGCAUAACAGGUGAUCAGUUUCCAGCGUCCCACCCGGUCCAGAUUGCAAUCCACCCCUCCCCAAACAAAAAAGAAGUGUGAAUGAGCAAGGCAGGCAGAGGGGUGCCGUGCUGAUUCAGAGCAUCUGGCCCUGCCGCAUACAUCGCCAAUACCCCUGGGCAAUCUACAAAGGGACACACACAAAGCACGCACACUGCCAAGCUCAGGCCCGCGGGAGCACAAGGCCCACCCGUCAUCCGCUUGAGCAAGAAAGAGUAGCGUCAAAAGAAACAGGCCGUGGGAUUAUUGACAGCGCGGUAAAAAACCUCCAGCAAGGCAGAUCGAGCGAGCGAGAUCGAAAGCGGGAUGCAGAUGCCCUCGCUAGGCGGGUAGCCUAGCAGGGUUUAUAUGUUCAAUUAUGUAGGAGGACCCAAAGCUCAAAAUGUAUGAAAGAAAGAGCUUCCCCUUGUAUGAGGCAUUGGGUGUGCUCUAUGAAGGGCACAUUGCUCAAGGAAGGCAUUGCCUCACAUCAAGGAAGCCUCCGAUUGUCACAAAAUCAGGUAGCAACUUUGGAGCAAAGGAGAAGAUGGUUGCCAGCACUAGCAAAAAAUAAAGACAUGGAAGAGAUGACAGCAUGAGGACUCCUUCGAUAAUUGGUAUCAAUGAUACUCCUGCAUUGGAUGAUGUGGAUGAAAGAGAAAACUCCGCCUGUGACGAGGAAGAAUUUGGCAGUGAAGAUGCUGAUGGCGAUCAACCACAAAUAAGUGAAUCAAAGGAAAGAAAACCAAGAAACAAAAAGGUGCCACAUCUGUACAGCGCCUUGAACAUUCAAUGAUGGCUUAUGUGAACUUCAAGAAAGAGCAAGCUACCAAGAAGGAGAAAGUGUCACAACAAGGAAAACAACCCUCAAUUACAGAAUGCUUGGAGGUCUUGAAUGACAUGGAUGAUGUGCCCGACGAGGUGAAAAUCUUUGCCUCUGAUGUUUUCAAAGAUGCAGCAAACCGUGAGAUUUUCCUGGGUUACAACUCAAGGUUACGGGGUAUGUGGUUAAAGAAGGAAGUCGGCAAGAUUAGUCCUCAGUCUUCUCCAUCUCAGUUUUCAUGUGGCGGUAUUUCUUCAAUCAAUCUUGUGCUCUAAUUGAAGGUGUGGCCUGCACCUAAUUAUCGUUACAGAUGUGGGAAUCCCAUGGCAAUUUUGUGAAAUUCAACCGCUUCUGCUACAAUCUGCUCACCAUCAUAGCAAGUCCAAUGUUGCUAAUUCUUGCAAGCAAUUCAUUUCGUUAAGGCCGUAGAUGUUUCUUGCAAACAAUCUGGCAAGAUUUUCUGUAAUAAUUCUAGAAAGGAGUGACUGGUUCUUGUGUUUAUGUUCAGAUUUCUAAAGCAGAUGAAUGAUGUUAGCUAUUAGUUGUUGGAUUUUGAAUCAAAUAUCUCUCAUUUGUAAAGGAUAAGAAUCAGAAAGACUCACAUUUGUUAUGGCAUUCAAUGUUCAUUGCGAUGUGAGCAAAGAUGGUUUUCAGUA